GGGGGUGAAUGCGCUCCGGUGGGCGUCCCGAUCUUCAAAAUCGGUGACAGGCCGCUCUGCGCGGCUUGUGGUGUGUUCGACUCACAUUCGCUCCCG
Molecule: transfer RNA, 96 nt
Filed under: Pleurocapsa minor GSE-CHR-MK 17-07R
Lineage: Bacteria; Bacillati; Cyanobacteriota; Cyanophyceae; Pleurocapsales; Pleurocapsaceae
Also listed under: 1 other name
Description: Pleurocapsa minor GSE-CHR-MK-17-07R (algae metagenome) tRNA-Sec
Rfam family: Selenocysteine transfer RNA
Source: RNAcentral